CGGUGAGUAACACGUGGGUGAUCUGCCCUGCACUCUGGGAUAAGCCUGGGAAACUGGGUCUAAUACCGGAUAGGACCAUGCUUUAGUGUGUGUGGUGGAAAGUUUUUUCGGUGUAGGAUGAGCCCGCGGCCUAUCAGCUUGUUGGUGGGGUAAUGGCCUACCAAGGCGGCGACGGGUAGCCGGACUGAGAGGUUGGUCGGCCACAUUGGGACUGAGAUACGGCCCAG
This 227-nucleotide ribosomal RNA is filed under the name uncultured Actinomycetales bacterium. RNAcentral describes it as "partial 16S ribosomal RNA". It matches the Rfam family "Bacterial small subunit ribosomal RNA", at positions 105 to 334 of the family's 1533-position model. The record is from RNAcentral. Lineage: Bacteria; Bacillati; Actinomycetota; Actinomycetes; Actinomycetales.